Molecule: ribosomal RNA, 497 nt
Filed under: uncultured bacterium
Lineage: Bacteria
Description: partial 16S ribosomal RNA
Rfam family: Bacterial small subunit ribosomal RNA
Source: RNAcentral
GAUGAACGCUGGCGGCGUGCCUAAUACAUGCAAGUCGAGCGAACAGACGAGGAGCUUGCUCCUCUGACGUUAGCGGCGGACGGGUGAGUAACACGUGGAUAACCUACCUAUAAGACUGGGAUAACUUCGGGAAACCGGAGCUAAUACCGGAUAAUAUAUUGAACCGCAUGGUUCAAUAGUGAAAGACGGUUUUGCUGUCACUUAUAGAUGGAUCCGCGCCGCAUUAGCUAGUUGGUAAGGUAACGGCUUACCAAGGCAACGAUGCGUAGCCGACCUGAGAGGGUGACCGGCCACACUGGAACUGAGACACGGUCCCAACUCCUACGGGAGGCAGCAGUAGGGAAUCUUCCGCAAUGGGCGAAAGCCUGACGGAGCAACGCCGCGUGAGUGAUGAAGGUCUUCGGAUCGUAAAACUCUGUUAUUAGGGAAGAACAAAUGUGUAAGUAACUAUGCACGUCUUGACGGUACCUAAUCAGAAAGCCACGGCUAACUACGUG